GUCUUUGCGUUAGCGAAGAUGUUAUUUUUGCUCGGUUGUGUGUCAGUGUUUCGGUGGAGUUGGGAUUCUAGGGUAGUUGGAUGUGAAUUAGUGGGGAGUUAGGAUAUUAGUGGGAUUUUAAAAUAGAUUUUAUUUUAUAUCUAUUUUUUUGUUUUUUAUUUUUCCCAAAAUUUCCCUUAUCUCUUUUGACUUUUUUUUUCUCUGACUGGGAGAAUCCUUUCUUUUUCCUUGCUUCUAAAAUUCUGUCAAAAUCCUGUCAAUUAAUCUUGAUUUUUCAGUUCUUCGGUGUUCU
RNAcentral lists this long non-coding RNA (292 nucleotides) under Gossypium raimondii (Peruvian cotton). RNAcentral describes it as "long non-coding RNA (GRAI_LNC004628)". The record is from RNAcentral. Lineage: Eukaryota; Viridiplantae; Streptophyta; Magnoliopsida; Malvales; Malvaceae.